ACGCUCGACACCUACGGGAGGGCAGCAGUGAGGAAUAUUGGUCAAUGGGCGCAGGCCUGAACCAGCCAAGUAGCGUGAAGGAUGACUGCCCUAUGGGUUGUAAACUUCUUUUAUAUGGGAAUAAAGUUUUCCACGUGUGGAAUUUUGUAUGUACCAUAUGAAUAAGGAUCGGCUAACUCCGUGUCAGCAGCCGCGGUAAUCUGAGCGGGCUGGCAAGGC
Molecule: ribosomal RNA, 219 nt
Filed under: uncultured bacterium
Lineage: Bacteria
Description: partial 16S ribosomal RNA
Rfam family: Bacterial small subunit ribosomal RNA
Source: RNAcentral